GCAUAACGCGAAGAACCUUACCAGGGCUUGACAUCCCUCUGAUCCUCCUAGAGAUAGGAGCUCCCUUCGGGGCAGAGGUGACAGGUGGUGCAUGGUUGUCGUCAGCUCGUGUCGUGAGAUGUUGGGUUAAGUCCGCAACGAGCGCAACCCUUAUCUUUAGUUGCCAGCAUUUAGUUGGGCACUCUAGAGAGACUGCCGUCGACAAGACGGAGGAAGGUGGGGAUGACGUCAAAUCAUCAUGCCCCUUAUGUCCUGGGCUACACACGUGCUACAAUGGAUGGAACAACGGGCAGCUAACUCGCGAGAGUACGCAAAUCCCUUAAAACCAUUCUCAGUUCGGAUUGCAGGCUGCAACUCGCCUGCAUGAAGCCGGAAUCGCUAGUAAUCGCGGAUCAGCAUGCCGCGGUGAAUACGUUCCCGGGUCUUGUACACACCG
This 436-nucleotide ribosomal RNA is filed under the name uncultured bacterium. RNAcentral describes it as "bacterial SSU rRNA". It matches the Rfam family "Bacterial small subunit ribosomal RNA", at positions 954 to 1392 of the family's 1533-position model. The record is from RNAcentral.